UAGUAUUGGUUACAGUUCAUCAUGAGGUGUUUGCUAGCCAUUCUCUUGUUCACCGCGGUGGCAGUGUCUAACAUAGCCGCUUUUAACUUAUUCCCAGCAAACAAACCAUUUUGGCCCCAUGAUUGCUACACGGACAACGACUGCCCUGGCGACGACUGUAUCUGCGACAUUGGUCACGACCACUUCCUUCAUUGUAUAUGUUUGCCUACAUUCCCACCACCGCUACUUGCGAAGUCUGGAGAGUAACCCACUGUGAAACCUGAGAGACCUAAAAUGUAUUAAAUGUUGUAUAACGAUACAUAUUAAAUGUUGUAUAACAAGAUGUUGUAUAAACAUAACAUCAAC
Spodoptera litura is the source of this 345-nucleotide non-coding RNA. Lineage: Eukaryota; Metazoa; Arthropoda; Insecta; Lepidoptera; Noctuidae. The record is from RefSeq and is a predicted model, not a curated record.